Molecule: non-coding RNA, 103 nt
Organism: Cordyceps militaris CM01
Lineage: Eukaryota; Fungi; Ascomycota; Sordariomycetes; Hypocreales; Cordycipitaceae
Source: Rfam
GUGAGCUUCGGCUCAUUUGGUCUUUUGAAACGGUACAGAGAAGAUUAGCAUGGCCCCUGCACUAAGGAUGACACGCAAUCUCAAAGAGAAGCUAUAAGUUUUU